CUUGAAACCUAAAGGACUUGACGGUGCCCCAAACCCACCUAGAGGAGCCUGUUCUAUAACCGACACCACCCGAUAAACCUCACCACCACUAGCCAUACCCAGCCCGUAUACCUCCGUCGUCAGCUUAUCACUCAAGUGAAUUUUAAUAAGCCAAAUGGUCCCCACCAAUACGUCAGGUCAAGGUGCAGCAUAUGUCGUGGGCAGAAAUGGGCUACACUCCCUCACAACCAGGAAAAACAAAAGACCUAGAGAAACCAAAGUCAAAAGGCGGAUUUAGUAGUAAAAAGAAAACAGAGUGUUCUUUUUAACUCGGCCCUGGGACACGU
Molecule: ribosomal RNA, 326 nt
Filed under: Sooglossus thomasseti (Thomasset's Seychelles frog)
Lineage: Eukaryota; Metazoa; Chordata; Amphibia; Anura; Sooglossidae
Description: partial 12S ribosomal RNA
Rfam family: Bacterial small subunit ribosomal RNA
Source: RNAcentral